UUGAACGCUGGCGGCAGGCCUAACACAUGCAAGUCGAGCGGUAGCACAGAGAGCUUGCUCUCGGGUGACGAGCGGCGGACGGGUGAGUAAUGUCUGGGAAACUGCCUGAUGGAGGGGGAUAACUACUGGAAACGGUAGCUAAUACCGCAUAACGUCGCAAGACCAAAGUGGGGGACCUUCGGGCCUCAUGCCAUCAGAUGUGCCCAGAUGGGAUUAGCUAGUAGGUGGGGUAACGGCUCACCUAGGCGACGAUCCCUAGCUGGUCUGAGAGGAUGACCAGCCACACUGGAACUGAGACACGGUCCAGACUCCUACGGGAGGCAGCAGUGGGGAAUAUUGCACAAUGGGCGCAAGCCUGAUGCAGCCAUGCCGCGUGUGUGAAGAAGGCCUUCGGGUUGUAAAGCACUUUCAGCGGGGAGGAAGGCGAUAAGGUUAAUAACCUUGUCGAUUGACGUUACCCGCAGAAGAAGCACCGGCUAACUCCGUGCCAGCAGCCGCGGUAAUACGGAGGGUGCAAGCGUUAAUCGGAAUUACUGGGCGUAAAGCGCACGCAGGCGGUCUGUCAAGUCGGAUGUGAAAUCCCCGGGCUCAACCUGGGAACUGCAUUCGAAACUGGCAGGCUAGAGUCUUGUAGAGGGGGGUAGAAUUCCAGGUGUAGCGGUGAAAUGCGUAGAGAUCUGGAGGAAUACCGGUGGCGAAGGCGGCCCCCUGGACAAAGACUGACGCUCAGGUGCGAAAGCGUGGGGAGCAAACAGGAUUAGAUACCCUGGUAGUCCACGCCGUAAACGAUGUCGAUUUGGAGGUUGUGCCCUUGAGGCGUGGCUUCCGGAGCUAACGCGUUAAAUCGACCGCCUGGGGAGUACGGCCGCAAGGUUAAAACUCAAAUGAAUUGACGGGGGCCCGCACAAGCGGUGGAGCAUGUGGUUUAAUUCGAUGCAACGCG
RNAcentral lists this ribosomal RNA (943 nucleotides) under Klebsiella pneumoniae. RNAcentral's name for it is "bacterial SSU rRNA". It matches the Rfam family "Bacterial small subunit ribosomal RNA", at positions 29 to 963 of the family's 1533-position model. Lineage: Bacteria; Pseudomonadati; Pseudomonadota; Gammaproteobacteria; Enterobacterales; Enterobacteriaceae. The record is from RNAcentral.